Long non-coding RNA from Bos taurus (domestic cattle), 1027 nucleotides. NCBI's taxonomy places the organism in Eukaryota, Metazoa, Chordata, Mammalia, Artiodactyla, Bovidae. The record is from Ensembl.
CCCACCCCUGGUCCCUGGAAUCGAGUCCUCCAGGCCUCCCCUCACCUCCCCUGACUUCAGCCUCUUUCUCCACGUGGCACCAGUUCUCUUCCUGGAAAUAGGAAACCUGGGGUCCUGGCCCACGGCCGGCAUUCCAGCCUCCCCCUGCCCCCCCCAGAUUCCCAUCUUCUAAAGCGCAGCUGCCAGACACCACACAGCCGGCCUCCCCCUGGGGACGCCCAGCACCAAGGCCACUUGCCACUGCUGUGGGGGUGACAAGGGCACAGACCCUGCCCCCACCCCAAGACAGAGUUGCUGCUGUGAUGCGUGGGUUUCUGGGGUGCAGGAGCCCUCGUGGUCUCACCCAUGCAUGGUUCCCCCACGCCCAAGUUCCCUGGAGGUGUCACAUGUGUCCCUGAGCAGUUCUUUGGUUCUCUGCACCGCCAGUCUCUCAGUGGUUUCGUGUGACUCGCCUAGGGGCUGGUCCCCGUCCUUGGAUCUCCCCCUGUUGAGGACUUUCCUCCCCAGCCCUGCCUCCGGACCUGGAGAGGUGGGAGGCAGGCCCUGCCAACACGUCUGCGGCCCAGUCCCUUCCGCUCCCUGCACCCCGUGUCCGCCGGUCUUCUUUUCCUGCUCUGUCCUCCCCUCCUCACCUGGGCCCCUGGCCUGGGAAGGCCCCUUCCUCCCAGCCAGGCCUCCCCCUCUGUGGCCUCGGGCGCCUGAGCCCCUCCUCAGCCCCCACCAUCGGUCUCGGCCUUCCUGGAGACCAGAGGCACGUGGGGCGGCCAGCAGCUCCGCCUCCGGAGCUUUGGCCGUGGCCCCCUCGCCCCUUCUAGAAGUUUUUGCACAGAACUUCAUUUUGGAAAGUGUUUUUCUCAUUCUCCAUACCUCCCCCAAACUCCUCCAGCCCUUCCCCCGGCGCAGCCCUGCCGUCCAGAGCGUCCCCAGGGCUGUGCUGUUCACUCGGCCGGAGAAAGGGGCAGGGUGGGAGGGACUGAGAGGAUGUUGGGUUUUUCAUUCAAUAAACUGGUGAUUUCUUACCAACGAG